Molecule: long non-coding RNA, 1210 nt
Organism: Drosophila subpulchrella
Lineage: Eukaryota; Metazoa; Arthropoda; Insecta; Diptera; Drosophilidae
Exons: 3
Source: RefSeq, a predicted model, not a curated record
CUUGUUCUAAGCCGAAAUGGCAGACUUCUCAGUUGGCUGAAAUUUCCGGCAAUGGUCGAAACCAACGCCGCAUGAUUUAUGAACAUUCUUUGUAAUUGAACCGGCGUGGCAGACAGACGUGGAAAAUAUUCACGGUAGCAAUUCGGUUGAAAUUCUACGAUACCCGAUACUGCCGCCACAGCAAACAAGUAGCGCGAGUGCAUUUGCAAGGUGCCCAGUUUGUCUUCAUCCGAUGUCCAGGGGAGUACCCACAUCGGCCGGCACUCCUAAACUGCCCUGAGGAGCACCCACAUUGACCAGCGAUUCUGAGUUGCCCUUAGGAGCACCCGCAUCGGCCACCAAUCCAAGUUGUGCAGAGGAAAACCCCCUGUGGUCAGCGAUCUGCAGUUGCCUUGGGGAGCACCCCUAUUUGUCCAGCGAUCUGCAGUUGCCUUGGGGAGCACCCCUAUUUGUUCAGCCUUCGGAGUUCCCCCUAUUUGCUCAGCGAUCAGUAGUUGCAGCAGGGAGCAUCCUUAUUACAGCUCGUCGAGGAAUUUCCUCGGCCAUAUAGUCCCGUAAAUUGCGAAAGCCUGCCCAACUCGAUCGGCCCUAACCCAAAUCUUCAACAUGUGAAAUCUACCGCUUGGGCAGCGAUCUUAACCUUAUUUGUAAUCUCAAAACUAUCAAGCUGGCGAGAAAAAUUCCACGUGUAUAACAGUGAACAAGGCUACACUGGGAGAAUUUCCAAAACAUGUGAAGAGACAGUCAACUUAAAACAAGACGAAAAAUUUAAUUAAUUCAUUAAUUUAAUAGUGAAGUAACAAUAACUAUAUUAUGGAAAAAUGUAAACUAAUUAAAUAAUUAAUAAGAUUAAGAAUAAGUUAAGAUUCGUCCUCUGCGCGGUUAAAUUACGGUUACUUUGUCCCUGGGUAAAGUUUUCUUAAAACGUUUUCACUCGAAAAAAUAAUGAAACGUUUAUAAGUGCACAUAUAAACCAAUGUCAAAGCAGGAAAAUGCUUUGAUUUCCUUUCCAGCCUACCUGCGUUCGAAGAUCGACCGUCCGCCGAGGAAUCAGCUGUGUGAGUUGUUUUUACCUUUAUUUUAGUUUAACAGAAGAGCAACUGAAAACCAAUCAAAACCUCAUAAACGACAGUAGAAAAUAUCUACGCCACAAAUUUAAGAAAGCCAUUAUUUCAAAUGUAACCAUGCCAAUAACGAAUUAACUUUAAAA